UGGGGAAUUUUGGACAAUGGGCGAAAGCCUGAUCCAGCAAUGCCGCGUGUGUGAAGAAGGCCUUCGGGUUGUAAAGCACUUUUGUCCGGAAAGAAAUCCUUGGCUCUAAUACAGUCGGGGGAUGACGGUACCGGAAGAAUAAGCACCGGCUAACUACGUGCCAGCAGCCGCGGUAAUACGUAGGGUGCGAGCGUUAAUCGGAAUUACUGGGCGUAAAGCGUGCGCAGGCGGUUUGCUAAGACCGAUGUGAAAUCCCCGGGCUCAACCUGGGAACUGCAUUGGUGACUGGCAGGCUAGAGUAUGGCAGAGGGGGGUAGAAUUCCACGUGUAGCAGUGAAAUGCGUAGAGAUGUGGAGGAAUACCGAUGGCGAAGGCAGCCCCCUGGGCCAAUACUGACGCUCAUGCACGAAAGCGUGGGGAGCAAACAGGAUUAGAUACCCCGGUAGUCCACGCCCUAAACGAUGUCAACUAGUUGUUGGGGAUUCAUUCCUUAGUAACGUAGCUAACGCGUGAAGUUGACCGCCUGGGGAGUACGGUCGCAAGAUUAAAACUCAAAUGAAUUGACGGGGUCAUAGCUGUUUCCU
RNAcentral lists this ribosomal RNA (584 nucleotides) under uncultured bacterium. Its description in RNAcentral is "partial 16S ribosomal RNA". It matches the Rfam family "Bacterial small subunit ribosomal RNA", at positions 355 to 1375 of the family's 1533-position model. The record is from RNAcentral.